This 662-nucleotide ribosomal RNA is filed under the name uncultured bacterium. RNAcentral describes it as "bacterial SSU rRNA". It matches the Rfam family "Bacterial small subunit ribosomal RNA", at positions 62 to 756 of the family's 1533-position model. The record is from RNAcentral.
UCGAACGAGAAAGUGGAGCAAUCCAUGAGUAAAGUGGCGACCGGGUGAGUAACACGUGACUAACCUACCUCCGAGUGGGGAAUAACUCCGGGAAACCGGGGCUAAUACCGCAUAACAUCGCAAGAUCAAAGCAGCAAUGCGCUUGGAGAGGGGGUCGCGGCUGAUUAGCUAGUUGGCGGGGUAACGGCCCACCAAGGCGAAGAUCGGUAUCCGGCCUGAGAGGGCGCACGGACACACUGGAACUGAAACACGGUCCAGACUCCUACGGGAGGCAGCAGUGGGGAAUUUUGCGCAAUGGGGGAAACCCUGACGCAGCAACGCCGCGUGGAGGAUGAAGUCCCUUGGGACGUAAACUCCUUUCGACCAAGACGAUAAUGACGGUACUGGUGGAAGAAGCACCGGCUAACUCUGUGCCAGCAGCCGCGGUAAUACAGAGGGUGCGAGCGUUGUUCGGAAUUAUUGGGCGUAAAGGGCGCGUAGGCGGUGCCACAAGUCACUUGUGAAAUCCCCGGGCUUAACUCGGGGCCUGCAGGCGAAACUGUGGUGCUGGAGUAUGGGAGAGGUGCGUGGAAUUCCCGGUGUAACGGUGAAAUGCGUAGAUAUCGGGAGGAACACCUGUGGCGAAAGCGGCGCACUGGACCAUAACUGACGCUGAGGCGCGA